GGGCGAGACUUCUUUGUUAGCCAAAGUGGGUGGCAAGCCAACAACACCUUUAAUUCCCCCGUGUCAGUCACUGGAAAAAAUGA
Molecule: long non-coding RNA, 83 nt
Organism: Neltuma alba
Lineage: Eukaryota; Viridiplantae; Streptophyta; Magnoliopsida; Fabales; Fabaceae
Exons: 3
Source: RefSeq, a predicted model, not a curated record